Molecule: ribosomal RNA, 284 nt
Filed under: Blautia obeum
Lineage: Bacteria; Bacillati; Bacillota; Clostridia; Lachnospirales; Lachnospiraceae
Description: partial 16S ribosomal RNA
Rfam family: Bacterial small subunit ribosomal RNA
Source: RNAcentral
UCUUUUCCUUUUUUUCCCGCAGCCGAGGUAAUACGUAGGGGGCAAGCGUUAUCCGGAUUUACUGGGUGUAAAGGGAGCGUAGACGGACUGGCAAGUCUGAUGUGAAAGGCGGGGGCUCAACCCCUGGACUGCAUUGGAAACUGUUAGUCUUGAGUGCCGGAGAGGUAAGCGGAAUUCCUAGUGUAGCGGUGAAAUGCGUAGAUAUUAGGAGGAACACCAGUGGCGAAGGCGGCUUACUGGACGGUAACUGACGUUGAGGCUCGAAAGCGUGGGGAGCAAACAGG